This 465-nucleotide ribosomal RNA is filed under the name Vreelandella stevensii. Its description in RNAcentral is "partial 16S ribosomal RNA". It matches the Rfam family "Bacterial small subunit ribosomal RNA", at positions 338 to 795 of the family's 1533-position model. Lineage: Bacteria; Pseudomonadati; Pseudomonadota; Gammaproteobacteria; Oceanospirillales; Halomonadaceae. The record is from RNAcentral.
CCUACGGGGCGCUGCAGUGGGGAAUAUUGGACAAUGGGCGAAAGCCUGAUCCAGCCAUGCCGCGUGUGUGAAGAAGGCCUUCGGGUUGUAAAGCACUUUCAGUGGGGAAGAAAGCCUUGGGGCUAAUACCCUCGAGGAAGGACAUCACCCACAGAAGAAGCACCGGCUAACUCCGUGCCAGCAGCCGCGGUAAUACGGAGGGUGCGAGCGUUAAUCGGAAUUACUGGGCGUAAAGCGCGCGUAGGCGGUCUGAUAAGCCGGUUGUGAAAGCCCCGGGCUCAACCUGGGAACGGCAUCCGGAACUGUCAGGAUAGAGUGCAGGAGAGGAAGGUAGAAUUCCCGGUGUAGCGGUGAAAUGCGUAGAGAUCGGGAGGAAUACCAGUGGCGAAGGCGGCCUUCUGGACUGACACUGACGCUGAGGUGCGAAAGCGUGGGUAGCAAACAGGAUUAGAUACCCGAGUAGUC